This 398-nucleotide ribosomal RNA is filed under the name uncultured bacterium. Its description in RNAcentral is "partial 16S ribosomal RNA". It matches the Rfam family "Bacterial small subunit ribosomal RNA", at positions 523 to 918 of the family's 1533-position model. The record is from RNAcentral.
AUACGUAGGGUGCGAGCGUUGUCCGGAAUUACUGGGCGUAAAGAGCUCGUAGGUGGUUUGUCGCGUCGUCUGUGAAAUUCCGGGGCUUAACUCCGGGCGUGCAGGCGAUACGGGCAUAACUUGAGUACUGUAGGGGAGACUGGAAUUCCUGGUGUAGUGGUGAAAUGCGCAGAUAUCAGGAGGAACACCGGUGGCGAAGGCGGGUCUCUGGGCAGUAACUGACGCUGAGGAGCGAAAGUAUGGGUAGCGAACAGGAUUAGAUACCCUGGUAGUCCAUGCCGUAAACGGUGGGCGCUAGGUGUAGGGGUCUUCCACGACUUCUGUGCCGUAGCUAACGCAUUAAGCGCCCCGCCUGGGGAGUACGGCCGCAAGGCUAAAACUCAAAGGAAUUGACGGGG